This 502-nucleotide ribosomal RNA is filed under the name uncultured bacterium. Its description in RNAcentral is "bacterial SSU rRNA". It matches the Rfam family "Bacterial small subunit ribosomal RNA", at positions 28 to 523 of the family's 1533-position model. The record is from RNAcentral.
GACGAACGCUGGCGGCGUGGAUUAGGCAUGCAAGUCGAACGGUAUCAUCCUUUCGGGGGUGAGAGAGUGGCGAACUGGUGAGUAACACGUAGGUUAUCUACCCUCAAGACGGGGACAACCCAGGGAAACUUGGGCUAAUACCGGAUGUGAGCAACUUUUAGUUGUUUGAAAGGUGGCGUAAGCUGUCGCUUGGGGAUGAGCCUGCGUCCUAUUAGUUAGUUGGUGAGGUAACGGCUCACCUAGGCAAUGAUAGGUAGGCGGCCUUAACGGGUGGUCGCCCACACUGGGAUUGAGAUACGGCCCAGACUCCUACGGGAGGCAGCAGUCGAGAAUAGUCUACAAUGGUCGGAAGACUGAUAGUGCGACGCCGCGUGAACGAUGAAUCCCUUCGGGGUUAAAGUUCUUUUAUAUGUGAGCAGUGCUUCUUAUAUUAACAGUAUGGGGAAGAGAUAUUAGCAUAUGAAUAAGCAACGGCUAAACUCCGUGCCAGCAGCCGAGGUAA